GAUGAACGCUGGCGGCGUGCUUAACACAUGCAAGUCGAACGAUGAAGCCCAGCUUGCUGGGUGGAUUAGUGGCGAACGGGUGAGUAACACGUGAGUAACCUGCCCUUAACUCUGGGAUAAGCCUGGGAAACUGGGUCUAAUACCGGAUAGGAGCGCCUACCGCAUGGUGGGUGUUGGAAAGAUUUAUCGGUUUUGGAUGGACUCGCGGCCUAUCAGCUUGUUGGUGAGGUAAUGGCUCACCAAGGCGACGACGGGUAGCCGGCCUGAGAGGGUGACCGGCCACACUGGGACUGAGACACGGCCCAGACUCCUACGGGAGGCAGCAGUGGGGAAUAUUGCACAAUGGGCGAAAGCCUGAUGCAGCGACGCCGCGUGAGGGAUGACGGCCUUCGGGUUGUAAACCUCUUUCAGUAGGGAAGAAGCGAAAGUGACGGUACCUGCAGAAGAAGCACCGGCUAGCUACGUG
This 466-nucleotide ribosomal RNA is filed under the name uncultured bacterium. RNAcentral describes it as "partial 16S ribosomal RNA". It matches the Rfam family "Bacterial small subunit ribosomal RNA", at positions 28 to 507 of the family's 1533-position model. The record is from RNAcentral.